CAUUAAGAAGCUAAUUUAGCAGUAACCUUUUAAGUUAAAGACUGGGAGAUCGUGUCUCCCCUUAAUGA
Molecule: transfer RNA, 68 nt
Filed under: Choeroniscus minor (lesser long-tailed bat)
Lineage: Eukaryota; Metazoa; Chordata; Mammalia; Chiroptera; Phyllostomidae
Description: tRNA-Lys
Rfam family: tRNA
About the family: Transfer RNA (tRNA) molecules are approximately 80 nucleotides in length.
Source: RNAcentral